RNAcentral lists this ribosomal RNA (301 nucleotides) under uncultured bacterium. RNAcentral's name for it is "partial 16S ribosomal RNA". It matches the Rfam family "Bacterial small subunit ribosomal RNA", at positions 509 to 807 of the family's 1533-position model. The record is from RNAcentral.
CAGUCGCCGCGGGAAUACAGAGGGUGCAAGCGUUAAUCGGAAUUACUGGGCGUAAAGCGCGCGUAGGUGGUUCGCCAAGUUGGAUGUGAAAUCCCCGGGCUCAACCUGGGAACUGCAUCCAAAACUGGCGAGCUAGAGUAUGGUAGAGGGUGGUGGAAUUUCCUGUGUAGCGGUGAAAUGCGUAGAUAUAGGAAGGAACACCAGUGGCGAAGGCGACCACCUGGACUGAUACUGACACUGAGGUGCGAAAGCGUGGGGAGCAAACAGGAUUAGAUACCCCUGUAGUCCCUGUCUCUUAUAC